CGCUAAUUGUGUCCAUGUAUUCAAUAAACGUUUGGAGUUAUUAAUGCAUUUAAAGGCAAAUGCAGUUCUAUAUGAAGUUAGAAUAAUUCUCACCGUUACCAAGUACUUAAGAGUCAUGAAAAGUGUACACGUAUUCACAUUGGCUGUAAUGCUGCUAUAUUUUUGUAUUAGGACUUCAACUGCAUAUUAUAUACUGAAUGAAUACCCACGUCUUGCAAAACGUAACCGAAUAAUACCAAUACGAGUAUAUUACUCGUAUUUGAUCAUGAGAACAGAACCUAUAAAACCUCCAAAUUACUACGGGUGCUCAUUUUACAACGUGAUGAUGUGCUUCGGACGAUAGAGCAAUUGGAAAUAUACUAGCAUUAACGUAUAAGUAAACUUUUACUGAGUU
This is a long non-coding RNA of Cydia splendana, 394 nucleotides long. RefSeq lists it as uncharacterized. The transcript is spliced from 2 exons. NCBI's taxonomy places the organism in Eukaryota, Metazoa, Arthropoda, Insecta, Lepidoptera, Tortricidae. The record is from RefSeq and is a predicted model, not a curated record.